UGCAUUUCUUCCAGGGCUGUUGCAGAUUCUGCAACAACCUGAUAGUUUAGCCAUUAGCAGAGUUUGUAGCCUGUUUAAAAAGCUUUGCUGCUGGCAGCCUGCAAAUGUAUCUUUUUGUUCUGGAGACCGCCUCUUUUCCUGGGGAAAGAAGGCUCCAUUUUGAGAAGCCUCUUGCCUUCUAGACAGAAAGAAAAAGAACUCAGAUGUGCUUGUGUGGCCAAGCCAGGCCAUCUCUGACAAAGCCAUCGCUCUCAUAUUCCUCUCAGCAUUUUACGCUAAAGAAAAGAAAGGCAUAUACUUCUGUCACCAAAAUCUCAUUAUUCUUGUUGCCGCACCACUCCAUAUGCUCUCCCUGUGGAGUUAUAGCUAAUUGAAAUGGCAUUUACCACCUGUAGAUGAUGCUGAACAGCACCCACCUCACUCGAAUGCAGGGCCUGUGUAGAAGAACCCUCAGUGACAUCAAUGAUACCAGGUGCUGUGGGCUAUGUUUGAGAGGAAGAAGCUGGCAAUACUGGAAUUAUUACUUGCCUAGAAAAACUCUAUGGAAUUCAUGGAAUCCUCAUAUGUUGACAGGUGACCUCAUAUGUUGACAGAGACCCUGACCAUCUUUGAUGACAUCUGGGACUUCCUUGCAGAAUAAGGAUUUUUUUAAAGAGGAAGAGGAGGAAUAUUGUAGGAUUGGCACUAUCCCUGUCCAUCUUUCGUAAGGAUCUUAAAAUAUGGCUAUUUCGAUGUGCCUUCGAAUGAAUAGUCCCAGUUAGAUACUUAGCUUGUUACAACUAUUGUACUUUAUCAAUGUCUCUCACCCUUGUUGAUUUUAAUUUCUAAAUGAAACCUACCUGUCUUCCUUGAUCGCCCUAUAUUUUAUCCUUGACCCUCACAUAGAGUCAGUACAGUUUUACCCCUACAUAUUUUGCACUAUGCUCAGACUCAAACGACUUGAUAUGUUAUGUUUUUAUGAUGUUUAUGCUGUUAUAUUGUUGUUAUUGUUAUAUUGGUUUAAAUUGUGAUUGUGUUUUAAUGUAUGCUGAUGUUGGGCUUGUGCCCAUGUGAGCCUCCCCGAGUCCCCUUGGGGAGAUGGGAGCGGGAUAUAAAAAUAAAGUUGUUGUUGUUGUUGUUGUUGUUGUUGUUGUAUGAAUCAUAGAAUCAUAGAAUAGUAGAGUUGGAAGAGACCUCAUGGGCCAUCCAGUCCAACCCCCUGCCAAGAAGCAGGAAAUCGCAUUCAAAGCACCCCCGAGAGAUGGCCAUCCAGCCUCUGUUUAAAAGCCUCCAAAGAAGGAGCCUCCACCACAGCCCGGGGAGAGAGUUCCACUGCCGAACAGCCCUCACAGUGAGGAAGUUCUUCCUGAUGUUCAGGUGGAAUCUCCUUUCCUGUAGUUUGAAGCCAUUGUUCCGUCUCCUAGUCUGCAGGGCAGCAGAAAACAAGCUUGGUCCCUCCUCCCUAUGACUUUUCACGUAUUUGUACAUGGCUAUCAUGUCUCCUCUCAGCCUUCUCUUCUGCAGGCUAAACAUGCCCAGCUCUUUAAGCCGCUCCUUGGCAUGUUUAGCCUGCAGAAACACAGCAAACAAGAUAGAAAUGCUGGAUUUUGUUUCACAAAAUCACAAGUUGAACACUUCCCAAGUGUCUAGGACUGUGUGAUGUAUUUUCAGAUGAUGCGCGCAGAUCCCAGCAGGGUGGCCUUUUGCAAUUGGCAGAUCGUAAUUUUGUCAAUGUCUAUUGUUUCCAAAUGCCGGCUGAGAUCUUUUGGGAUGGCACCCAAUGUACUGGUUUCUGCCAGAGUCUUUGAAGUUCAAUCUUGAGUUCCUGAUAGCGGCUGAGUUUUUCCUGUUGUUUUUCAUCAAUGUGACUGUCACCUGGGAUGGCAACAUCAAUGAUCAGAGCCAGCCCUAGGUAUUUUUCAAGUGUAGGCGAACAGAAUUUUGCCCCCCCCCCCCGCAAACCAAUCACUGAAAAAUAAAAGCGUUGGAUAAGCGAAAAAUGUUGGAUAAUAAGGAGGGAUUAAGGAAAAGCCUAUUAAACAUCAAAUUACAUUAAUAUUUUACAAAUUAAGCACCAAAACAUCAUGUUUUACAACAAAUCAACAGAAAAAGCAGUCUCGACUGCGCCCCCGUAUGUUUUGUGCCCAAGGCGACUGCUUAAUUAGCCUCAUUGUUGGACCGGCUCUGUCAAUGAUCCAAACCUUUUUCUUUUCCACAACUGUGAUGUCUGGUGUGUUGUGUUCCAGAACUUUGUCAGUCUGGAUUCGGAAAUCCCACAGUAUCUUUGCUUGCUCGUUUUCCAAUACUUUUGCAGGUUUGUGAUCUCACCAGUUCUUUACUGCCGGGAGGUGGUGCUUGAGGCAUAAGUUCCAAUGAAUCAUUUGUACCACAUAGUUGUGCCUCUGUUUGUAAUCUGUUUGUUGUUGUUGUUGUUGUUGUUAUUAUUAUUUUAUUGUAUGACACAGCAAACAAGAUAGAUAUGCUGGAUUUCAUAUCACAAAAUCAAAAGUCGAACACUUCCCAAGUGUCUAGGACUGUGUGAUGUAUUUUCGGAUGAUGCACGCAGAUCCCAGCAGGGUGGCCUUUUGCAGUUGGCAGAUCGUAAUUUUGUCAAUGUCUAUUGUUUCCAAAUGCCGGCUGAGAUCUUUUGGCACGGCACCCAGUGUGCCGAUCACCACUGGGACCACCUGCACUGGU
Molecule: long non-coding RNA, 2676 nt
Organism: Anolis carolinensis (green anole)
Lineage: Eukaryota; Metazoa; Chordata; Lepidosauria; Squamata; Anolidae
Exons: 4
Source: RefSeq, a predicted model, not a curated record